UACGGAGGGUGCAAGCGUUAUCCGGAUUCACUGGGUUUAAAGGGUGCGUAGGCGGGCAGGUAAGUCAGUGGUGAAAUCCCCGGGCUCAACCCGGGAACUGCCGUUGAUACUAUCUGUCUUGAAUAUCGUGGAGGUAAGCGGAAUAUGUCAUGUAGCGGUGAAAUGCUUAGAGAUGACAUGGAACACCGAUUGCGAAGGCAGCUUGCUACACGGUAAUUGACGCUGAGGCACGAAAGCGUGGGAAGCAAACAGGAUUAGAUACCCUGGUAGUCCACGCCCUAAACUAUGGAUACUCGACAUCAGCGAUACACUGUUGGUGGCUGAGCGAAAGCAUUAAGUAUCCCACCUGGGAAGUACGAUCGCAAGAUUGAA
This 372-nucleotide ribosomal RNA is filed under the name uncultured bacterium. RNAcentral describes it as "bacterial SSU rRNA". It matches the Rfam family "Bacterial small subunit ribosomal RNA", at positions 524 to 898 of the family's 1533-position model. The record is from RNAcentral.